CUGAAGUCGCUGAGGGGUUUGUUGCUGGCUCUCCGGAGCAUGUGCACGCCACUCACACUUUAUUCAACCACCUGUGCACCUCCUGUAGUCUCUCAGACGUUUCUCAAUCUUCGGAUUGGUUGGGACUGCUGCUUUUCGCAAGAAAGGCUUCAGUCCAAUGUCUUGAGGGGCUAUGUCUACACAUACACUGUAAAAUUACCAGAAUGCAUCAUAGUCUUUUUAAAGACUUUAAAAUUAAAAUA
Molecule: unclassified non-coding RNA, 242 nt
Filed under: uncultured Pterula
Lineage: Eukaryota; Fungi; Basidiomycota; Agaricomycetes; Agaricales; Pterulaceae
Description: sequence contains ITS1
Source: RNAcentral